RNAcentral lists this ribosomal RNA (158 nucleotides) under Boeremia exigua. Its description in RNAcentral is "5.8S ribosomal RNA". The stretch from base 1 to 124 matches the Rfam family "5.8S ribosomal RNA", at positions 31 to 154 of the family's 154-position model. From Rfam's summary of the family: 5.8S ribosomal RNA (5.8S rRNA) is a component of the large subunit of the eukaryotic ribosome. Lineage: Eukaryota; Fungi; Ascomycota; Dothideomycetes; Pleosporales; Didymellaceae. RNAcentral also lists the same sequence under 1 other name. The record is from RNAcentral.
CAUCGAUGAAGAACGCAGCGAAAUGCGAUAAGUAGUGUGAAUUGCAGAAUUCAGUGAAUCAUCGAAUCUUUGAACGCACAUUGCGCCCCUUGGUAUUCCAUGGGGCAUGCCUGUUCGAGCGUCAUUUGUACCUUCAAGCUCUGCUUGGUGUUGGGUGU